This 1761-nucleotide long non-coding RNA is filed under the name Fragaria vesca (wild strawberry). Its description in RNAcentral is "long non-coding RNA (FVES_LNC000920)". The record is from RNAcentral. Lineage: Eukaryota; Viridiplantae; Streptophyta; Magnoliopsida; Rosales; Rosaceae.
UAUAUAUAUAUAUAUAUAUAUAUCUAUUAGCUACUUAUAAUUAACAACAACUUCAUAUAUAUUAUCAAAUACAUCAACCAAAUACGAUCAACACAUAUAUAUAUAUAUAUAUAUAUAUAUAUACACAUCAAACGUAUACUCAAAAUCUAUCAAUUUAAUCACACUCAAAAUCGAUCAAUAACUCAAAAUCAACAUAUAUACACAUGUACGUACCUAUAUAUAGCUCCACUUCUUAAUAAUGGACAGAUUUCAACAACACCCAAACUUUUUCUCCCGUUUUUUCUUCUCCCGUUUUCUUUUCUCAGAUGAGCUGCUGUCCAGAUCUGCGAAUAUAAAGAACUUAAGCCGACGAAAUUAUAUUUUCGUCGGCUAAAGUCUUUCUUCUGGUAGUGGCAACAAACAUGCAAUACCACAUGAGGCAACGUAUAACUGAAACUAUUCUCCCUUCAAAUAUGUGGUGACCUAACUAGGCAGGCAGGCUAGUAGGUGCACCGUCCCACAUCGCCCGGGGGAGACAAGUUCAUAUGCUUAUAUAUGCAGAGCUAGCACCUUACAUUGAGACGUUGAGAUGCGUUUUGGGGUGAUACCUCAAGAACAAAACCAUGAGGGCUGGUGGGCCCAAAGUGGACAAUAUCUCAAUGGUAGGCACUAGGCUGUUAAAGAUGGUAUCAGAGCCUGUCCCCGCCCGGAAGUGUGCCGACGCGAAUGUCGGUCCCCUAAGAGGGGUGGAUUGUAGUGACCUAACUAGGCAAGCAGGCUAGUAGGUGCACCCGUCCCACAUCGCCCGGGGAAGACAAGUUGCUAUGCUUAUAUGUGCAGACCUAACACUUUACAUUGAGAUGCGUUUUGGGGUGAAACCUCAAGAACAAAACCGUGAGGGCCGAUGGGCCCAAAGCGGACAAUAUCUCAAUGGUAGGGACUGGGCUGUUACAAAAUAUUAGCUUACUCACUAUUAAAACAUCUCCAACAGCUUCCCCAAAAUUUCUUUUAAAUGAGGAAGCAAAAGUCAUAAUCUUUAAAAAAAAUUCUGCUCCAACUCUAACAACUUCCUCACUUUGAAGAUUUAGGCAUUUAUAUAUUUUCUAUUAUACCAAUAAAUAAUCAAUAAAAUAUUUUAAAUAAUUUUCUUCUUGUUGGAGCAUGUGAAGAAUAUAUGACGAAUUUGACAUUUGCUGCAAAUUUGGGGAAGUAUUCCUUCUCUUUCUUCUCCAAACCUAUUUUAGGGAAUGAGAUAAGUGAAAUUGUUGGCCUAAAAAAAACUCAAUAUUGAGAAAAUCGAGAAAAUGGAGAAGCUGUUAGUGGUGCUCUUAUGUGUCACCAAAAAGUUUUUCCAGCAUCUCUAGCUACUAUCGUGGACAAAAACAAAACUCGCUCUCACAUUUUUUCACUUUUAUCAUAUUAUUAAAACUCACAUAUAUAUAUUCUUUUAACAUCUAUUUAACUACAUCUUAAGUGCUUCCGAAUCAUGAUUCUCAUCGUCUCCUUGAUGAGACAAAUUGAAACCACGUAAGUUUUUAUCGGGUUUUUCGUCGAGUUACUGAGAAAACUGUGUUCGGUUAACGCUCGAGUAUAUUUUCGAGUUUUUGUCGAGAUAUCAAAUUCUUCUUUUACGGCCCCAAGGUAAGUUUCUUUCUUGAUGAGACAAGUCGUGUGUUCAAAGACUAUAAUUGUUAUUAUGAACCAUGAAAGUGUUGUUAUGCAUUUCCGAAGAACCGAACAUGCAAUACCGGAUGAGGCAACGUACAACUGAAACUAUUCUCC